CCAAGGAGUGCAAGAGGCGUGCGAGUCUUUGGGUGUUUAAAACCCUUGGGCGAAAUGAGAGUGAAGGGGGUUACCCCCGAGGCGAGAGCCCGUCCCGAGCGGGCGCAUCGUCGACCGAUCCCAGGCUACGCUGUGGUGGGAUUCGAGUGAGAGCGUGCCUGUUGCGACCCGAAAGAUGGUGAACUAUGCCUGAAUGGGGCGAAGCCAGAGGAAACUCUGGUGGAAGCUCGCAGCGGUUCUGACGUGCAAAUCGAUCGUCAAAUUUGGGUAUAGGGGCGAAAGACUAAUCGAACCGUCUAG
Molecule: ribosomal RNA, 300 nt
Filed under: Reniochalina stalagmitis
Lineage: Eukaryota; Metazoa; Porifera; Demospongiae; Axinellida; Axinellidae
Description: LSU rRNA
Rfam family: Eukaryotic large subunit ribosomal RNA
Source: RNAcentral